AAUAAGCGGAGGAAAAGAAACUAACAAGGAUUCCCCUAGUAACUGCGAGUGAAGCGGGAAAAGCUCAAAUUUAAAAUCUGGCGGUUUCACCGUCCGAGUUGUAAUCUAGAGAAGUGUUAUCCACGCUGGACCGUGUACAAGUCUCCUGGAAUGGAGCGUCAUAGAGGGUGAGAAUCCCGUCUUUGACACGGACUACCAGUGUUUUGUGAUGCGCUCUCAAAGAGUCGAGUUGUUUGGGAAUGCAGCUCAAAAUGGGUGGUAAAUUCCAUCUAAAGCUAAAUAUUGGCGAGAGACCGAUAGCGAACAAGUACCGUGAGGGAAAGAUGAAAAGAACUUUGGAAAGAGAGUUAAACAGUACGUGAAAUUGCUGAAAGGGAAACGCUUGAAGUCAGUCGCGUUAGCUGGAAAUCAACCUUACUUUUGUUGGGUGUACUUUCUAGUUUACGGGUCAGCAUCAAUUUUGAUCAUUGGAUAAAGUCCUUUGGAAUGUGGCUUCUUCGGAAGUGUUAUAGCCUUUGGUCGCAUACAAUGAUUGGGAUUGAGGAACUCAGCACGCCGCAAGGCCGGGUUUUUACCACGUUCGUGCUUAGGAUGCUGGCAUAAUGGCUUUAAUCGACCCGUCUUGAAACACGGACCAAGGAGUCUAACAUGCCUGCGAGUGUUUGGGUGGAAAACCCGAGCGCGUAAUGAAAGUGAAAGUUGAGAUCCCUGUCGUGGGGAGCAUCGACGCCCGGACCAGACCUUUUGUGACGGAUCCGCGGUAGAGCAUGUAUGUUGGGACCCGAAAGAUGGUGAACUAUGCCUGAAUAGGGUGAAGCCAGAGGAAACUCUGGUGGAGGCUCGUAGCGAUUCUGACGUGCAAAUCGAUCGUCAAAUUUGGGUAUAGGG
This 888-nucleotide ribosomal RNA is filed under the name Tubaria vulcanica. RNAcentral's name for it is "partial large subunit ribosomal RNA". It matches the Rfam family "Eukaryotic large subunit ribosomal RNA", at positions 45 to 922 of the family's 3401-position model. The record is from RNAcentral. Lineage: Eukaryota; Fungi; Basidiomycota; Agaricomycetes; Agaricales; Tubariaceae.